AGUGAACGCUGGCGGUAGGCCUAACACAUGCAAGUCGAACGGCAGCACAGUAAGAGCUUGCUCUUACGGGUGGCGAGUGGCGGACGGGUGAGGAAUACAUCGGAAUCUACUUUUUCGUGGGGGAUAACGUAGGGAAACUUACGCUAAUACCGCAUACGACCUACGGGUGAAAGCAGGGGAUCUUCGGACCUUGCGCGAUUGAAUGAGCCGAUGUCGGAUUAGCUAGUUGGCGGGGUAAAGGCCCACCAAGGCGACGAUCCGUAGCUGGUCUGAGAGGAUGAUCAGCCGCACUGGAACUGAGACACGGUCCAGACUCCGACGGGAGGCAGCAGUGGGGAAUAUUGGACAAUGGGCGCAAGCCUGAUCCAGCCAUACCGCGUGGGUGAAGAAGGCCUUCGGGUUGUAAAGCCCUUUUGUUGGGAAAGAAAAGCAGCAGGUUAAUACCCCGCUGUUCUGACGGUACCCAAAGAAUAAGCACCGGCUAACUUCGU
RNAcentral lists this ribosomal RNA (491 nucleotides) under uncultured bacterium. RNAcentral describes it as "partial 16S ribosomal RNA". It matches the Rfam family "Bacterial small subunit ribosomal RNA", at positions 29 to 506 of the family's 1533-position model. The record is from RNAcentral.